ACAUGCAAGUCGGACGGUAGCACAGAGGAGCUUGCUCCUCGGGUGACGAGUGGCGGACGGGUGAGUAAUGUCUGGGAAACUGCCCGAUGGAGGGGGAUAACUACUGGAAACGGUAGCUAAUACCGCAUAACGUCGCAAGACCAAAGUGGGGGACCUCCGGGCCUCACACCAUCGGAUGUGCCCAGAUGGGAUUAGCUGGUAGGCGGGGUAACGGCCCACCUAGGCGACGAUCCCUAGCUGGUCUGAGAGGAUGACCAGCCACACUGGAACUGAGACACGGUCCAGACUCCUACGGGAGGCAGCAGUGGGGAAUAUUGCACAAUGGGCGCAAGCCUGAUGCAGCCAUGCCGCGUGUAUGAAGAAGGCCUUCGGGUUGUAAAGUACUUUCAGCGGGGAGGAAGGUGUUGAGGUUAAUAACCUCAGCAAUUGACGUUACCCGCAGAAGAAGCACCGGCUAACUCCGUGCCAGCAGCCGCGGUAAUACGGAGGGUGCAAGCGUUAAUCGGAAUUACUGGGCGUAAAGCGCACGCAGGCGGUCUGUUAAGUCAGAUGUGAAAUCCCCGGGCUUAACCUGGGAACUGCAUUUGAAACUGGCAGGCUUGAGUCUCGUAGAGGGGGGUAGAAUUCCAGGUGUAGCGGUGAAAUGCGUAGAGAUCUGGAGGAAUACCCGGUGGCGAAGGCGGCCCCCUGGACGAA
RNAcentral lists this ribosomal RNA (696 nucleotides) under Pantoea stewartii. RNAcentral describes it as "bacterial SSU rRNA". It matches the Rfam family "Bacterial small subunit ribosomal RNA", at positions 53 to 737 of the family's 1533-position model. Lineage: Bacteria; Pseudomonadati; Pseudomonadota; Gammaproteobacteria; Enterobacterales; Erwiniaceae. The record is from RNAcentral.